RNAcentral lists this ribosomal RNA (465 nucleotides) under uncultured bacterium. Its description in RNAcentral is "partial 16S ribosomal RNA". It matches the Rfam family "Bacterial small subunit ribosomal RNA", at positions 28 to 507 of the family's 1533-position model. The record is from RNAcentral.
GACGAACGCUGGCGGCGUGCUUAACACAUGCAAGUCGAACGGAAAGGCCCUGCUUGCAGGGUACUCGAGUGGCGAACGGGUGAGUAACACGUGGGUGAUCUGCCCUGCACUUCGGGAUAAGCCUGGGAAACUGGGUCUAAUACCGGAUAGGAGCCAUUUUUAGUGUGAUGGUUGGAAAGUUUUUUCGGUGUAGGAUGAGCUCGCGGCCUAUCAGCUUGUUGGUGGGGUAAUGGCCUACCAAGGCGGCGACGGGUAGCCGGCCUGAGAGGGUGGACGGCCACAUUGGGACUGAGAUACGGCCCAGACUCCUACGGGAGGCAGCAGUGGGGAAGAUUGCACAAGGGGCGCAAGCCUGAUGCAGCGACGCCGCGUGGGGGAUGACGGCCUUCGGGUUGUAAACUCCUUUCGCUAGGGACGAAGCUUUUUGUGACGGUACCUAGAGAAGAAGCACCGGCUAACUACGUG